GACGAACGCUGGCGGCGUGCUUAACACAUGCAAGUCGAACGAACAGACGCGGCUUUUGUUCGGUGCUCGUGUGGCGAACACGUGAGUAACACAUGAGUAACAUGCCCUUGACUUUGGGAUAUCUUCACGGGACACGGGCUAAUACCGGGUAGGAGCUCCUGCUGCGUAGUGGGGGAUGGAGAGUUUCGGCGGUGGUGGCUGGACUCGCGGCUUAUCAGCUUGUUGGUGGGGUAGUGGCGUACCAAGGCUGUGACGGGUAGCCGGCCUGAGAGGGUGACCGGCCACAUUGGGACUGAGAUACGGCCCAGACGCGUACGGGAGGCAGCAGUGGGGAACCUUGCACAACGGGCGGAAGCCUGAUGCAGCAAUGCCGCGUGCGGGAUGCCGGCCUUUGGGGGGUAAACAGCUGUCUCCGGAGACGAAGCGUGAGUGACGGUAAUUGGUAAAGAAGCACCGGCUAACUACGUG
This 468-nucleotide ribosomal RNA is filed under the name uncultured bacterium. RNAcentral describes it as "partial 16S ribosomal RNA". It matches the Rfam family "Bacterial small subunit ribosomal RNA", at positions 28 to 507 of the family's 1533-position model. The record is from RNAcentral.